CCCUUAGAUGUUCUGGGCCGCACGCGCGCUACACUGAUGCAUUCAACGAGUUAUUCCCUUGGCCGAGAGGCCUGGGCAAUCUUUUGAACGUGCAUCGUGAUAGGGAUAGAUUAUUGCAAUUAUUAAUCUUGAACGAGGAAUUCCUAGUAAACGCAGAUCAUCAAUCUGCAUUGAUUACGUCCCUGCCCUUUGUACACACCGCCCGUCGCACCUACCGAUUGAAUGGUCCGGUGAAGCCUCGGGAUUGUGGCCGUUGCCUUUGUUGGUGUCGGUUGCGAGAACUUGUCUAAACCUUAUCAUUUAGAGGAAGGUGAAGUCGUAACA
This 324-nucleotide ribosomal RNA is filed under the name uncultured eukaryote. Its description in RNAcentral is "partial 18S ribosomal RNA". It matches the Rfam family "Eukaryotic small subunit ribosomal RNA", at positions 1470 to 1796 of the family's 1831-position model. The record is from RNAcentral.